CCUACGGGUGGCAGCAGUGAGGAAUAUUGGUCAAUGGGCGGGAGCCUGAACCAGCCAAGUCGCGUGAGGGAAGAAUGUACAGCGUAUCGUAAACCUCUUUUGUCAGGGAACAAAAGCGGGGACUAGUCCCCGUAUGAGGGUACCUGAAGAAAAAGCAUCGGCUAACUCCGUGCCAGCAGCCGCGGUAAUACGGAGGAUGCGAGCGUUAUCCGGAUUUAUUGGGUUUAAAGGGUGCGCAGGCGGACUGUUAAGUCAGCGGUAAAAGCUAGAGGCUCAACCCCUGCGAGCCGUUGAAACUGGCGGUCUUGAGUUGGCGAGAAGUACACGGAAUGCGCGGUGUAGCGGUGAAAUGCUUAGAUAUCGCGCAGAACCCCGAUUGCGAAGGCAGCGUACCGGCUCCACACUGACGCUGAGGCACGAAAGCGUGGGUAUCGAACAGGAUUAGAUACCCGUGUAGUC
RNAcentral lists this ribosomal RNA (459 nucleotides) under uncultured bacterium. Its description in RNAcentral is "partial 16S ribosomal RNA". It matches the Rfam family "Bacterial small subunit ribosomal RNA", at positions 338 to 795 of the family's 1533-position model. The record is from RNAcentral.